CCCUUAGAUGUUCUGGGCCGCACGCGUGCUACACUGAGUGGAUCAGCGGGUCAGGUUGCGCGAAAGUGUUUCCUAAUCUUGAAAUCCGCUCGUGAUGGGGAUUGACGGUUGCAAUUUUCUGUCAUGAACGAGGAAUACCUUGUAAGCGCGGGUCAUCAUCCCGCGCUGAAUACGUCCCUGCCCUUUGUACACACCGCCCGUCGCUCCUACCGAUUGAGUGGUCCGGUGCGGCUUUGGGAUCUGGAUGGAAAGAGCGUUUCGCUGUUUCUGCCCGGAAAACUCAGUCGAACCUUAUCAUUUAGAGGAAGGAGAAGUCGUAACA
This 322-nucleotide ribosomal RNA is filed under the name uncultured eukaryote. Its description in RNAcentral is "partial 18S ribosomal RNA". It matches the Rfam family "Eukaryotic small subunit ribosomal RNA", at positions 1470 to 1796 of the family's 1831-position model. The record is from RNAcentral.